Molecule: ribosomal RNA, 253 nt
Filed under: uncultured bacterium
Lineage: Bacteria
Description: partial 16S ribosomal RNA
Rfam family: Bacterial small subunit ribosomal RNA
Source: RNAcentral
GACGUAGGGCGCGAGCGUUGUCCGGAUUUAUUGGGCGUAAAGAGCUCGUAGGCGGCUUGUCGCGUCGACCGUGAAAACUUGGGGCUCAACCCCAAGCCUGCGGUCGAUACGGGCAGGCUAGAGUUCGGUAGGGGAGACUGGAAUUCCUGGUGUAGCGGUGAAAUGCGCAGAUAUCAGGAGGAACACCGGUGGCGAAGGCGGUUCUCUGGGCCUUACCUGACACUGAGGAGCGAAAGCGUGGGGAGCGAACAGG